This is a small nucleolar RNA of Rhododendron vialii, 139 nucleotides long. RefSeq annotates it as small nucleolar RNA snoR77. The record is from RefSeq and is a predicted model, not a curated record. The transcript has a single exon. NCBI's taxonomy places the organism in Eukaryota, Viridiplantae, Streptophyta, Magnoliopsida, Ericales, Ericaceae.
AGGCAGCCCCCUUUUCUUGAAUGAAAAAAUGGAGAGGGAGGUGUUAAUCUGCUCGGAAAUAAAAUCAAAGCUUUUGCUCUUCAGAUUUGCUGAGAUUUUAACCAAUCUUUGAAGCUGGUCUAGUAAGCUCAAGUACAUU